This 1812-nucleotide ribosomal RNA is filed under the name Triticum aestivum (bread wheat). RNAcentral describes it as "partial small subunit ribosomal RNA". Lineage: Eukaryota; Viridiplantae; Streptophyta; Magnoliopsida; Poales; Poaceae. The record is from RNAcentral.
AUGACCUUUGGGGCUCGCGCUCGGUUUGAUUGGCUGGAUGUCGGUUUCUUCGGUGCGCGGGGCAGCCUCUCCUGUCGCGCCGCGUGUGCGCGAAGGCCGCGUCAUGGGCGCUGCGUGGGUUAUGCGCUGCUCGGCCGACACAUAUAUACCUGGUUUUUGCGCCCGCACCUGCGCUGGACUGAUGACGGGUGGACCUGUACUGCUGCUGGCCCCGCUCAUCGGUUGAACUGGAUGCACGUCCCACAGUGUUUCUCUCGGGUGGGCCGGUCCUGCUGCUGGUCCCGCUCGUCAACUGCACGGACUUCGUCAUGUUGGUUGGUUGUGCGGACUGCGCCGGGUUGGCUGGGGCAUGUUCGCGUGGACCCCUGGCUGACCGAUGCAUCGUGUGCGCGUCCUGCGUGCCUCACCUCCGUCUGCGGUUGGAGAGAGGAGAUGGACUGGCAAAAUAUCUCGCGAGCCCACUUCCCGCAUCUCUAUCGCCCUAGCCGCCUCCACGCUCGUGCAUCCUCCCGCGUCAAUCGUGCCCAAACCUCCUCAUCUCGUAUCCCGUGGGACCGAGGUGCGGGCAUGGAGGCGAGCUUCCCUGGCGGCGGCGGCGGCCUGCAGGCAAAGGGUGACGGCGGCGGCGGCGCUGGAUUAGAUCUGCGGGAGAGAGAGAGGAUGAGAGGGGGAGAUAAGGAAGAAGAUGAGAGGGAGAGAGAGAGAGAGAGAGAGAGAGAGAGAGAGAGAGAGAGGAAAGGGGAGAGGGAGGGCUUCUACGUCGCCGCUCUCUGGAUGCACGCCAUCCACCCGCGCACGCUCGCCGCCAACCUCGCCGGCUUCGCCAGAGGCAAGCGACGCUGCGUCGGCGGCCUUGCCGCCGCCGCGGCUGAGGCCGCCAAGGCCCGGCGCGAGAAGGAGGCGGAGCACGCGCAGGCCGUGCUCGCGCACAACGACUCUGACGAGGCCUUCUGCAACCUCUACGACGGCGUCGCCGACAUCUUCGCCGGGCUACUCAAGUCGGACCAGGAGCACCUGCACGCGGGCGACACGGAUCGUGUUCACCGCCAAGUGGUGCCCGUCGCUGCGCCUGUCUACGCCUACCGCGUCCGCAACCGGCUCCACCGCGAGGUGCAGGUGCCGCUCCGCAAGGUGCUCGAGCUCCCCGAGGUCUACAUGAGCGCCGGAAGUGGGACGAGCUGCCCUGCGCGCGCUUGGCGUCCACGGCCAUCCGCCGGUACAAGUGGCGUCCUGGCUGUUCUUCUUUCUUCUGGUGUCUGCAUCAGGGCCGUCUCCAAAAAUUCUGGGGCCCGCCAACAGACUAAAAAACCACAAGCUAUAGUAAGUCAGAUCGUCAGAGAAGGCACCUUCCUGCGAUGCAGGCACAGACGACUUGCUGUUGCUGUACCAUAUGAACAUUCUUCAUGUGAGAAGGGAUAUAGGCUGCACCUCCGGGGAGGAAACAAAGCGAUCAAACUAGACAACGCCGCUAGCCUCCGCCACCGUGCGGCGGCGCCACACUUCGUUCGUCUCGGGAAGAUGGAUAUCGAUCGGCUGCAGGCUGCGUCAAUCCGGACUCAGAAAAGGUCAUACGGGAAAUUGAGGAGAAGGCCCAGUUUGGGAGAGCCAUGGGCCUGUAUUAGUUGUAAGAAUGGCCCAAAAUUAAGGAGACAUAGGCCUAGAAUCGGGGCCCCCUGGAAUUUGGGGGCCCUGUGCGGUCGCCCAGCCCGCACAGGCCCUUGGACGGCCCUGGUCUGCAUAUACCAUGGGUUGUGCGCUUGUGUGCUCAUGUUGAUGUUGGCAUGGUUUAUAUUGUCUAUUCUUUCUGCUUGA